UUGCUUGCAUGGUCAAUUUGGGCAUCGGUUUGUUAAGCAGCAAAAGCUCGCAUGUUGAAUCUACUCAACUCAAGUAUGUUUCCACCAGAAAACUCAAUCGUGUAGUGUAUUGAAUGACAUGUUUAUUUAGUUUCUACUAAUUAGUUUGGAUAACCUCUGAUCAUCCGAUGAAGUAACUGAGAAGAAAUUUUGGUCAUGUUAUUACUUCCCAUUUUUUAUACCUAUGCAAUUAAUGUUAUUUGUUGCUGGUUUUGCUGUGGCGCCAAGUCUAAAUGAGGGAACCUUGUUUUUAUUCAAAGCAAGAUCCAUGUGUUGACAUAGGAUGGAUUUUGUACAAAAUGCCUAUAAUAUCGAGCUUUUCUAAUAUUCUCUUAACUGAAAAAGGCUGUUGGAUAGAGAGCUAUUAUGAAGAGCAGAAAACUCAUAUAUCAAGUAAUUACAACAUGACAUGCUUCUGGUAGUGCUAACUUCAGCCGUUCAGCGCCUUGUUAUGUAAUACGUGUCGUUAUAUUGGUAGAUGUCAAGUGCUCUUCUCUAUCUCAGUUAUGGUCUGCCUUAGUUUCAGUCUAAGCUAUAUUAAUCAACUAAUUUUGUGGGUAACCUCCUUGUUCGUCUAGGUUUUUUUGGCUACUGUAUCUUCGAACUGACCACUUCUCUUGUAGCAUUUUUCAUCAACACUUCCGGUCUUGUGGCCAUAAACCUCUUUGGUCAUUUUAUGCGAUCUCCUUAUGACUGCAGUAUCAGUACAUCUUAUUUUGCCACAACUGGCAACUGAGUCUUCAUCUUCAAGCAUUGCAGUUUUUACUUCCGCUUCAACAUGUUUCUUGUUCCCAGCAUACAUCUCUCCUUUCUUGUACACUUAUCUUGGUGUAUUCAUCCUCUGAGCCAUCCGAUAAUAUGAUAGAUCUCUAUCAUUUUCUUUUGUCAUUGCAGAGUCCAUGUGAUGUUUAUGUUUUUUUUCUUCACACCCAUCAUCAUGUACUAUAACCCCAUUAGUAUCGUGUGGUUCUUCUUACAUAGAAACAAAUUGUCAUAUCCUUUUCUGAGGUGAAUCUCUAUUGUUAUUUGUCUGCAAAAUAAAAAUACAUUUCAAAGAUUACACGUGUCUCUAAAGUUUGAGAAGUAGUACUCUGAGAAAAUUAAUCACCCUUUAGCCUCUAUGUUAUGCUUCUUUGUUGCUUUUUUGAACACGGCGUCCACUUCAUCAUGCAAAAUUCUGAGAAUCAUAUGUGAGAUGUAUUAGUUAGGAAAAUACAAACACAAUACUUCUUUUGUAAUGGAUAAAGGCAAAUUUUCCUCCUCGGCUUUAUCUUUCAGGUCCACCAUCUCAAGCCUAUCAUCACACACAAAUGUUCUUUUUACUGCAUAGUUUUUUGUUCUGAAAGUGAGAUUGCCAUCGCUGAACAUGAGCUGAAAAUAAGUGUUUGUCAACAUUAUUAUUAUGUAAUCUUUGGCGCUUCUUCAUAUUUCUCAUCCAGUGAAUUUAGCAAGUCCGAGACAAAUGUAUUGAACAAUUUUUCGGCCUCACCGUCAAAUAAAGUGCAACUUGUAGUAGUCGUACAGUCAUUAAUUUAUUGUCAAAUACGAUAACUAUCAUACGAUUGUUAUUAGUGUAGAGUAAAUGUAAUAGGAAAGAAGUCUUCUUCAAAUAUAUGCUUACCGAGGUGAUACAUCAUCUCGAUAUGUAUCACAACUCUCGUAACAGUACUUGUCAACUUCCUUCUUAUCUAGUUUGUGAAAAUCAUCACAUCGCAUAUACCAGCUUUGAAUAUGAUCACUUGUAGCUAUUACUGUGAACACAAAAUCCUAAAAUGAUUUCCCAAAAAUUUAGCAUACCGGAGAAAGUGAGAGACAUAAUUAAGUAGAUAUGCACUAUAACUGAUAUUUACUAAGUUGUCAUUGCAGGUAUUGAGAGUCUGGUUUUCCUCAAAAAGUGGCGAUUUCAUAUCUUAGAAGAAGUCUCGCAUUAGUUCAAAUUUGAACUAAAACCAUCACACUUAUUUUGGAUCGAGGAGUAUGAAUUUGGUAUUGAUUCUUGUGUUGAGUUCCUGCACAUUUGGAGCAAAUGGAGUAUAAUAAUUAUCUUAGAUUGGUGAAUAAAGAUGAGUCAAGAUAAAUUAGCUGAGAAAUAAUAAAAGUUGGUCUUUCAUACCUGUCAACAAUUUCCCAAGUUUAUGGUAUAUCUAGAUCUGUAUAGAUUCUUAUGACACUUGACUUUAAGCAUAGUCAUGUUUAAUCAAAGUAAAUUCUGUUAGACAUAUUUUUAUAAGGGAGAAGUAUAUUUUUUGUCCCUAAACUCUUCUGAAAGUAUAGAAAUAGUCCUUGAAUUCAAAAACCAGCAAAACUUAGUCCCUCAACUUUUCAAACCGGAUUAGUUUAGUCCCUCAUACCGCUUCGAGUGGUUUCCAUCUGAUGUGGACAUGGUUUUGACCAAAAACUUGAAACGUCACCUAGGCUUGAUCGCCACGUCAGUCCAUGUCAUUUUUUUCAAAGCACAGUGCAUGUCACCAAGGGCCCUAGUACUACCAGGCGCGGCGAGUUCGGAUGAGAAGCCGGACAGCGUCGUCCAUGACGGUCAUGCGGCGGAGACAAAGUGCUCGAGCGGCCAGAGGAGCUCGGCGACCCAGGGCGUGGCGUUGGCAGACGAGUUACUUGGCCUCCGUGUUGCACGGGCCGUCGAGCUGCAGCCUGCGCCCAGCGCGACGCCGCUGACCUUUUGGACAGGAGGCCUGAGCAGGAGGAGGAGCUCGAGGCCGCGAGCUCGGACAAGCCCUCCGCGGGCACCUCCACUGACCGCGUUGGCCAUGCAUCCGAUCGUAUGCAGCAGGGUGUAAGGUGCAGUCUAGGGAGCAACACAUCACGUGCGUGUGUAUUCUGGGCGAGAUCGGAUCAGCAUGUUCGUUGUGUUUGGCCUGCAUCUCCUGCGGGCCGAAUCAAUACGUAUGUUCACGUAUACCUACGUGUUUUGCCGGCGGCUAGAAUCAAUCCAGCAGCUAGUCUGCACUUCGUGUUCCUUCCUGGAGCACGCCUGCCUCACAGGAGACCCAAGGCCGCGCCGUGGUGCACCAGCUCAUUGCAGGAGCUCGCGAUCCCUGCUCGCGUGGUGCAGACUUGAGCCACCAGCGGUGGCAGCGACACGAGCAAAAGAGCAGCUUUGGGAGCUUCACGCCGUUGCCCUGCCUCCACCACUCUAACAGACCAAGGGAAUACACAGGCCAUCGUUAAUCAGCCUCAUCAUGGACCACCCGGGCCGACACGCACCGAGCCGCACCACGCCGGCUGCAGGCGCAGCCGUAUUUGCCCGUUGCACACACUGCCGGGCGCCGUUGACACGCACUGCCCGCUCACUGACCAUUAUACCGAGCACCUUUCGUGCACGUGUCCGAGUCAAAAACCACACCGCGUCAGCAGAAAAUCACCCUAAGCAAGAUGAGGGAUUAAACUUAUCCGGUUUUGAAAGUUGAGGGACUAAACUUAUCUGGUUUUGAAAGUUGAGGGACUAAGUUUUGCUGGUUUCGGAGUCGAGGGACCAUUGUUAUACUUUCGAAAGAGUUGAAGGACGAAAAAUAUACUUAUCCCUUUUUAUAAUUAAUAGAAGAGCUUGUAACAUUAAUGAACUUACCAUUGAACUUCUGCACCAGUGAUGAGGAAUGGUUGUGCAUUAUGGACUUAAUCUUAUAUUAGAAUUCAAUCUGGCUGAAAUAUGAAGGUUCGGGGUUAUUUCUUUUUAUUAUUGAUUCCACAUGCUCCAUUUGGGUUGGUAGUCCAAUGACGUCUAUAGAAGCGGAGUUAAUUAUUUGAGAGUUUCAUCUAAUUUUUUUUCCUUUGUAGCAAACUCGAAGUAGUAAACUGGGUAACCUUCUGAUGAUCCUCUCACCUCCGGCGAGCUCCGGCUACCCUGGACCGGGCGCUGCCGAUGCUAGCUCCCCACGCGCCGCUGCCCUGUCUCCAUCCCAUCCUUCCUCUCCCUCCCCCCUCUCCCUCCAUUUCCCUUCCUCCCUCCUUGUGCAGAGAUCCGCAGCCGCUACCUUCUUCGCAGGGCCUCCGGCUACCCUGGACCGGGCGCUGCCGAUGCUAGCUCCCCACGCGCCGCUGCCCUAUCUCCAUNNNNNNNNNNNNNNNNNNNNNNNNNNNNNNNNNNNNNNNNNNNNNNNNNNNNNNNNNNNNNNNNNNNNNNNNNNNNNNNNNNNNNNNNNNNNNNNNNNNNNNNNNNNNNNNNNNNNNNNNNNNNNNNNNNNNNNNNNNNNNNNNNNNNNNNNNNNNNNNNNNNNNNNNNNNNNNNNNNNNNNNNNNNNNNNNNNNNNNNNNNNNNNNNNNNNNNNNNNNNNNNNNNNNNNNNNNNNNNNNNNNNNNNNNNNNNNNNNNNNNNNNNNNNNNNNNNNNNNNNNNNNNNNNNNNNNNNNNNNNNNNNNNNNNNNNNNNNNNNNNNNNNNNNNNNNNNNNNNNNNNCCUUGUGCAGAGAUCCGUCGCCGCUGCCUUCUUCUUCGCAGGGCCAAUGGCCUCCUCGGGCUCAACCUCCAUGUCCAGGAGCUUUGCCAAGAUCUCUGUGCCCUCCGCGCAGAUCGAAUUGAUCCGGCGCGCCUUCAUUAGUCCGCGCCAUUGCUGUCUUCCUUGCCUCCGGCUAGCCGCCAUCUUGCCCCGAUCUGUCACCGUGGGCCGCCGUGUUCCCGUGCACUGUCGUGUUCGCCACCGUGCGCCCCCUCUGCCUCGCUCCCGUGCGGCGCCGUGUUUGCCACCGUGCGUCCCCUCUGCCUCGCUCCCGUGCGCCGCUGUGUUCGCCAUCGUGCGUCCUCGCUUGGACCAGCACCGGCGCCGCCCAAUUUCUGCCGGCCAAACCGCUGCCAGUGGCCCCACCACCACGUGGGGUUGUUAGAUUAGGGUUAAACUUUUUUUGUGAGUUAGAUUAGGGUUAAUCCAUGAUGUGGGUAUUAAUUAGUUAAUUAAUCUGUUAAUGGCAUAUUAAAUCAAUCUAAAAUAAUCAAUCCAAAAUAACUAACCUAUGACAAGUGGACCCAUUCCCUUGUUGACCCAGUCAACUGCUGACCAUUUGUCCUUGACAGUGGGUCCUACAUGUCGCUGACAAAAGGAGGCAGAGGCAAAAUGUCUAGAAAACAUCAAGUAAACGGUCAAACCCCUUUGACCUAACGGAAACGGAACAGAAGGGCAAUUCUGUAAGGGGAACUAACGGCGGAGGGGCAUUUUUGAGCAGGCUUUGGAAUUAGGGGUAUAUCUGAGUAGGUGGUUCGAGUUAGGGACAGAAAUGUAAAUGGCCCUAUUAUCUAUGGAUUCAUUCGAUUUACCGAUUAUGUGUAUGUUUAAGCACUUUUCAGUUUGCAUUUGGCCAUCCAUCUUUUUACUCAUAUCAUAGUAUCUUGGUACAAUUUGCAUUCUUUUCACACAGAAAAGGGUACAAUUUGCAUUUGAUCAGUCGGUUUUUCACCUCAUAGUUUUUCUUGUACACUUCGGCUUCUGAGCCUGAAUGUGCCAUCUGACUCUUCAUAUUCGAAACUACUUCAUUGAUGAUGGUUGUGCCCGACCUUUGUAUGAUAGGUAAAUCGAGUGGCUGAUGCCCUUUCUAAACAUAUGCAUGUUUCGCUAGAUUUAAGCAUCGUCUGAGAAUCGUGCGAUUUCUGUCGUGUGUAUAACACCACUCCUUCAUUUUUUUUGAGCGAAACGGCUACCUAGACAACAGUGCUGCCCGAUCUAUGCAUGACGUGCUAAUCCAGCCGCUGGUGCCCUUCUCAAUCAUGUGCAUGUCGAACCUCAACAAAAUAAAUCAUGUGCAUGUCCGGCUGGAUUUAAGUUCGUGUGUAUAGCACGGCUGUUUUUUUUAGGGAAAGCACGGCUGUUUUUUGAGUUGUGCUCUUCAUCCGGAAGAUAAUUACCACUCCGGAUUUUUUUUCUCUCCAUCUAAAACAGCCCGUACCGGUUCCCGUACUGGCCUUGUGGCCUCGCUCCUCUCUCCCUCCUCUCGUCGAUCCCUAUCCACUCCAAAGAAAAGGAAAAUAACCCCAUCGGCACCUGGUUCUUCAUCCACACGCAUCAUUUCGCCAGAUUUGCUAUCGCCGAAGGUAGAUAUCGCUCGUGGGCAGUGGCCAUCAUUGAGAGUCUACCCCCCUCUAAAAUUUCUCUUCCUGGGGUUGGUGGCGCAGGUGGCCGGGUGAGUGCGUGAACGCGUUUGAUGCGGUCUUCAGGGUGCAGAUGCUCGCCCACCUCGGCGAGUCCGGCGGCGAGGCCAUCAAGAGGUCCGGCGGCUAGUGACGGUGGUGGAUGUGCUGGAGGUUGGUGGCGUUGAGGGGGCAGUAAGGAAGCUGACGGAGAAGGGUGUGGAUUUCCUAGAUGAGUUCGUGCAAUGGAUAAUGGUCGGAUCUGAGGAGCGGGGCAGAGACUUGCACUGCGGCUAUGCUUCAUGAGAGCUAUGGGGUUAUGUAGACAAAUGUGAGAUCGUGCCAUAAGCAAAUGACAUCAAGAUCUGAGCACCGUUGCAGACGGCCUCGAGUUAUUUUCCUCUUCAUCUCCUACAAAAUGUAAGUGCGAGCCGAUCAUAUGCAUCCUUCCUAGUGCAGAUUAUUUUUUUAGUUCCUCCAUAUCACUAUGUAAGUCUGUAGUGUUGUACUCCUUAUUUAUGAAAUUUCUCUUCGUACAGGUUGCUUGCAUGGUCAAUUUGGGCAUCGGUUUGUUAAGCAGCAAAAGCUCGCAUAUUGAAUCUACUCAACUCAAGUAUGUUUCCACCAGAAAACUCAAUCGUGUAGUGUAUGGAAUGACAUGUUUAUUUAGUUUCUACUAAUUAGUUUGGAUAACCUCUGAUCAUCCGAUGAAGUAACUGAGAAGAAAUUUUGGUCAUGUUAUUACUUCCCAUUUUUUUAUACCUAUGCAAUUAAUGUUAUUUGUUGCUGGUUUUGCUGUGGCGCCAAGUCUAAAUGAGGGAACCUUGUUUUUAUUCAAAGCAAGAUCCAUGUGUUGACAUAGGAUGGAUUUUGUACAAAAUGCCUAUAAUAUCG
Molecule: long non-coding RNA, 7001 nt
Filed under: Triticum aestivum (bread wheat)
Lineage: Eukaryota; Viridiplantae; Streptophyta; Magnoliopsida; Poales; Poaceae
Description: long non-coding RNA (TAES_LNC022561)
Source: RNAcentral